Molecule: long non-coding RNA, 1496 nt
Organism: Anas platyrhynchos (mallard)
Lineage: Eukaryota; Metazoa; Chordata; Aves; Anseriformes; Anatidae
Source: RefSeq, a predicted model, not a curated record
GAAAAGAGGGAUGGGGCCACAGGAGGAUGGAGCAGACGAAGGAGGGAGAAGCAACAGCAUGGUGAGGGAGUGGUGGCUCGGCUGCAGGACCUGCGAGCCUUGCAUGCCUGUGGCUUCUUGUGUCACUGGAACUGCAUGGUGAAGAAGUAGGUGAUUUGGACAAAUGUACACCUGAUCAGUUGAUCUGGACAAUUCUUCUCAUUCAUCACCCAGUAUGCUUGCUUACCCCAAAACACACACACACAAUGUACUUUCAGCUUUUCAGAAAAUGGGCGUUUUCCCUCAAAUACUGGAGAAAAUCGAAGUGGCUGCCUGUCAUUCCACAGGUUGCCGGAUUCAAGACAGACCAAGGGGGAAUAAUGAAGAACACCAUAGAGGAAACCACAGUAGUAAUCACCCAACCACUGAUUCUUCAGGUUUUAGACAAAUGAGGUCUAUUCGACGCUUGAGUUGCGCUACUUCCUUGUAGCUGCUUGGACAAACUACCAGUUCAUCCUCUGAAUCAAGUAAGAAUGAGCCAGAAAAAUUACCAGGACUCCAGAGGUCCCAACUCAGGGAAAAUACCCUCCGCUUUGAGACAUGAGGAAUUAGCCAAAUAGUGCCUCUCAAUCCUUGUUGCUGGUUGCACUGGUGUUAAAGAUGAAGACUGUGAGAAAGAGGAAGCGCAAUCUAUUCAUUUGAAGAAAUCAAACAAUGACAACAGAAGAAAUCAUUUGGAUUGUUUCUUCAGUUCUGUUUUCAAGUGCAGCCUCACUGAUGGACUUGCUUACAACACAAGCCACUCCCUGUUUCCUCAAAAAGAGUUAGUUCAUUGCCUCAGCAGUAGUGCAAGAGCUUCCUGAAGUAGUUUGCACAGCAAUCUCAUUCUCUGAUCAUCCAUGCCAGCUACAUUUCCAGAACUCAAGAGGCUGUAGAAACUGCUCAAAUGUACAUUUGGAUAGUGCAUGAUUAAUCCAUGACGCUAAGAUGACAUAAGUCUAAAACAGCUUAUGAUCCUUACAGAACCUUGUCUUACAAGGAACAGAUAGAAAAAACAGACAGUAUUUAUGGUCAGAGAAAUGAUCCCCAGAUGCUGCUUUAGAGCUGACCCUGCAAGCCAGCAAGUUUUUCAUAUAGUCCUCAAUUUAUUUCCACCCAGCCAGCUUUGCAUCUUGGAUAUCACAGCCCCAGAGACUCCUACCAAACCUUACAGCACCUCUCUCCAACCCCAGGUGUGGUUCACAGUGCACCUCUGAUGAGUCUGCCACCUUCUCUCACAGCCCUACAAUCAACUUUGUCUAAACCCCUGAACCACCCUACAAUUCACCUCUCCCACCUUUUGAAUAUUUAUGUAUUUAUAUUCCACCACCCUCAGCAUGUAUACCCAUCAGUACAUGCACAAAUCUUUGCAAAAUCUGCACUCUGUCUCCCUAAGUGCUACCUCCUUCACUAUCUACUUGCCAGUUAUACCAUUGCCAGAGCAAUAGCUAGGUGCUGGUCUUGGGACCUACAUAUUU